ACCGGGGGGGAUUACUUACCAUGCAGUCGAACGAUGAACCCGAAGCUUGCUUUGGGGGAUUAGUGGCGAACGGGUGAGUAACACGUGAGCAACCUGCCCCUCACUCUGGGAUAAGCGCUGGAAACGGCGUCUAAUACUGGAUACGAGACGCGACCGCAUGGUCAGUGUCUGGAAAGAUUUUUUGGUGGGGGAUGGGCUCGCGGCCUAUCAGCUUGUUGGUGAGGUAAUGGCUCACCAAGGCGUCGACGGGUAGCCGGCCUGAGAGGGUGACCGGCCACACUGGGACUGAGACACGGCCCAGACUCCUACGGGAGGCAGCAGUGGGGAAUAUUGCACAAUGGGCGGAAGCCUGAUGCAGCAACGCCGCGUGAGGGAUGACGGCCUUCGGGUUGUAAACCUCUUUUAGCAGGGAAGAAGCGAAAGUGACGGUACCUGCAGAAAAAGCACCGGCUAACUACGUGCCAGCAGCGGCGGGUAAUA
This 480-nucleotide ribosomal RNA is filed under the name Microbacterium sp. TW19D. RNAcentral describes it as "bacterial SSU rRNA". It matches the Rfam family "Bacterial small subunit ribosomal RNA", at positions 38 to 525 of the family's 1533-position model. The record is from RNAcentral. Lineage: Bacteria; Bacillati; Actinomycetota; Actinomycetes; Micrococcales; Microbacteriaceae.